This is a long non-coding RNA of Corvus hawaiiensis (hawaiian crow), 2021 nucleotides long. RefSeq lists it as uncharacterized. NCBI's taxonomy places the organism in Eukaryota, Metazoa, Chordata, Aves, Passeriformes, Corvidae. The transcript is spliced from 2 exons. The record is from RefSeq and is a predicted model, not a curated record.
GGCACCUCCCCGGCGUGCGGCCGCGCGGGGCGAGCCCAGCCCGCUGCUGCAGGAAUGCGGGCGGCAGCGGUGGGGCUGAGCGGGCUCUUCCCGGCGCGGUCCAGGUGAACCUUGUUUUGGCAGCAUCUCCGGGCGCUCUGGGGCGCCUGCUGCUUCUCAGUGUUCUUCUUUUCCCGGACAGGACUGUGUGGCAGCAGAGACUCGGGGCUACUCGGGAGAAGCUGAUGCCCCAAGGGAGAAGGCUUUGGCCGCCAGUCGCAACCUGCUUCGCUGCGGAGCGGGAGCUCCCAUCGGAUGAACUGGAAGUCGAGCAGUAGCCAUGUACCAGGCCCACCACCUCACCCGCUUCAACCACCAGGCUGGGGUUCCCAGCUGGGCACCAACGCCGACCUGGCAAAUUUCUAAAUUGCCUUGAGUUUAGAGACUAAAGUGCAAACUUAGCCGAAUUUUUCAGUUUUUCCUUCUUUAAAAUUAACAUAAUCAUGACUGGGAAUGUGAGAUAUAUGGAAAGUCAUUCAAAGCCUUUUAAUUUACCAAUGCAACUUAAGGAUAACGAUGACUUUGAUUACUUAACAAAAAAUCACGGGUUGCAGAUAUAUUGCAUUUUGUGUAUAUGAAGAAUAUAUUCACCACUCAGGCAUGGCGCUUAUUUUGUGGUUGCAGUGUGGAGACAUCCUGGCCAUCUACUAACCUACUUUCCCCUCUAUUUGAGAAUGACAGGAAUAGAUUACUAAUGUUGGAUUGCAGCUCUGCACAACUCACAUAUUACUAAUUCUGUCUCUUCCUUUUAAAGUGACAUCUGUCAAAUUAUCUAAGAUCUUCACCUCCCACAAGUAUACAGCAUAGCUGCAAAUUUCCUUGCAAUUUGAGAGAAGUGAUCUGAUAUUUCAACAAGGACUUGCUUCUAAGGACUUGAUCCUAAAGACUUCUCUGACUUUACCUAAGCAAGUUACAUCAGGAAAUUUCCAGUACUGGGGCAUGAAGUAAAAUAGUGCUAGUUCACUCUGACUGCAAUAUUAAUACUUAGCAGCUGGCAUAGAAUAUUCUUGCCAGGUUAAAACUAAAAAGUAUUCGUAAUUCCACAAUCCAUAUGAUAGCAUAAGUGAACAUGCACCUCGUUUCCUGUUGAAUAUAUCCUGCUGCAGCAUGCUGCUUUUAAAAUCUGCCAAGUAAAAAGUAGUAAGUGAAAGAAAUUGUCUCUUUGUUUAUAGCCCUUUGCAUCCACUUAAUACUAACCCCUGCUAUCCUUACAAAACCAUACAUAAGCAAGCAUUCUUUCUGCCAGUUUUGCUUAGAAACUGUUGCCUACAAAUCAUUCCACUGACAUAGUUGAGACUUCUUGUUUAAAUAAAUCAUUACUUGCUUUGAUUAGAGGAACGGGACACAAUGAAGAAGAUCCCAUUUAUUACUUCUAUCAGACAUGCAGUUUAACUAUUGUAAAAACGCUGAAGUGUCUUUUUUUUGUCUAUUUUCAAACAUUAACACUAUGAAAAAUAAUCAGAUCUUUGCCAUCUCAUAAUGUGACAACACCUCAUUGAGGGACCAGGAGUAAGUGGGCAUGUACUGCAGAACUUCCCAGCAGAGCACACAGUAGCUGCUGAAAAAUAUGGGUUGAGUCUGCAUUUUGUAGCAUAGCAGAGCUGUAUCUCUUGGUUUCAUGAGCUGUUGAUGUAGAGACUGAAAGCAGAGUGUGAACUAUAUAGGUCAUCUCCAGAUGAGACAAACCUAUAUAACUUCAAGAAUACAUGGAGCUGGGUAUAUUUCCCAUCUUUAGUUUACAGAAAACCUACUUUCUUCUUAGUGAGUUAGACCUGACACUGAUUUUAAUGUACCCCUUUAUUUGUAAAGCCACAUUGCUUCAGUGUUACCAAUUUAAUAGUACCAUGGCAGGAGAGAACACCUUCGUUAGUACCUUUCAGAAAUUUCAAAUUUCAAAAUACUUAUCAAAUAACAUUGUAAAUGUACAUAAUGCUUUUCCUUGAAUUUCCUGUCUUUAUUUUGCAAUAAAACUUUAUGAUCCA